RNAcentral lists this ribosomal RNA (274 nucleotides) under uncultured bacterium. RNAcentral describes it as "partial 16S ribosomal RNA". It matches the Rfam family "Bacterial small subunit ribosomal RNA", at positions 523 to 796 of the family's 1533-position model. The record is from RNAcentral.
CUACGGAGGGUGCAAGCGUUAUCCGGAUUUAUUGGGUUUAAAGGGUUCGUAGGCGGAUCAAUAAGUCAGUGGUGAAAGCCUGUGGCUCAACCAUAGAACUGCCAUUGAUACUGUUGAUCUUGAGUACACUUGAAGUGGGCGGAAUGCGUCAUGUAGCGGUGAAAUGCAUAGAUAUGACGCAGAACACCGAUUGCGAAGGCAGCUCACUAAAUUGUAACUGACGCUGAGGAACGAAAGCGUGGGGAGCGAACAGGAUUAGAUACCCUAGUAGUCC